UAUGUGAUCGUCUCUCGCAUAUCAAUAAGCGGAGGAAAAGAAACUAACAAGGAUUCCCCUAGUAACGGCGAGUGAAGCGGGAAGAGCUCAAAUUUGAAAUCUUAAAGGGUUUCCCUUUACGAAUUGUAGUUUAGAGAAGUGUUUUCUGUUGAGGUUUUGGUAAAAGUUCUUUGGAAUAGGACAUCAUAGAGGGUGAGAAUCCCGUAUUUGACCUUUACUUUCAACUUUGUGAUACACUUUCAAAGAGUCGGAUUGUUUGGGAAUGCAGUCCAAAAUGGGUGGUAAAUUUCAUCUAAAGCUAAAUAUUGGCGAGAGACCGAUAGCGAACAAGUACCGUGAGGGAAAGAUGAAAAGAACUUUGAAAAGAGAGUUAAACAGUACGUGAAAUUGUCAAAAGGGAAGCGUUUGACACCAGUGUUGUUUUUCUGAAAAUCAAUUAAAGAACUGUUUAUGCUAAGUUGUUUAGACUUUAUCAGCUAACUGUUUAGUUUUGAGCUUUUCUUUAAUGCACUUUUCAGUUAACAAGUCAACAUCAAUUUCUUUUGCUGUAAAAAAGCUUGAGGAAGGUGGCUUGAGAUUCGUCUUAAGUGUUUAUAGCCUCUUGCCUAUGCAGUCGGAGAGAUUGAGGUCUGCAGCGUAGAUCCUUCGGGGCUAAAUGCAUUUGUGCUAAGUUAUAGCAUUUUAUAGACAACUUGUUGACUAUGAUUUGUCUUGUAGCUUACUCGCUUAUGUUAUUUUACCUACGCUUAGGAUGUUGAGUAGCGACAUACGCAC
Molecule: ribosomal RNA, 774 nt
Filed under: uncultured Neocallimastigales
Lineage: Eukaryota; Fungi; Neocallimastigomycota; Neocallimastigomycetes; Neocallimastigales
Description: partial large subunit ribosomal RNA
Rfam family: Eukaryotic large subunit ribosomal RNA
Source: RNAcentral